AAACCCCACCCGGAGCAAGACCGAAUAGGAGGGGGCGUCCGUUAGAGACGCAAGAACGGCCCGUUCUACCCUCGGGUACGGUCGCUUGAGGCGGCAGGUAACUGUCGUCCCAGAUAAAUGGUUACCACUGAUUGCCAUCCAUUAGGUAAUCAGCACAGAACUCGGCUUAUAGGUCGGUUGGCAAC
This 185-nucleotide RNase P RNA is filed under the name Bacillota bacterium. Its description in RNAcentral is "partial RNase P RNA component class A". It matches the Rfam family "Bacterial RNase P class A", at positions 208 to 367 of the family's 367-position model. From Rfam's summary of the family: Ribonuclease P (RNase P) is a ubiquitous endoribonuclease, found in archaea, bacteria and eukarya as well as chloroplasts and mitochondria. Its best characterised activity is the generation of mature 5'-ends of tRNAs by cleaving the 5'-leader elements of precursor-tRNAs. Lineage: Bacteria; Bacillati; Bacillota. The record is from RNAcentral.